Non-coding RNA from Cordylochernes scorpioides, 71 nucleotides. NCBI's taxonomy places the organism in Eukaryota, Metazoa, Arthropoda, Arachnida, Pseudoscorpiones, Chernetidae. The record is from the annotation of a GenBank genome assembly.
GCAUCGGUGGUUCAGUGGUAGAAUGCUCGCCUGCCAAGCAUGCGCCCCGGAUUCGAUUUCCGGCCAAGGCA